CCAAGAGGCACCUAGUAUCCCUUUCUGGCAGCCCAAGCAGAAGACAAGCAGUUCACAGCUUGAUUCCUUGCUUCUGGCAGCUCAAAAAUGGUAAAUGCAACAGGAGUUCUGUGGAAAACAGCCUGAUGAAAAGGCAUAAUUAGACAUCAUUUACCCAUGGCAGACAGGGAGACUAAAGUGUACCGUAGCCACACCUGAGGUUUAAAUGAGCUGUGUUGGAUGGUAGGAGACCUUGCUGAGAUCAAGCUACCUCCUUCAACUGACAAUGACUAUGUGACACUUGGAUUCCCAGGAAAAGCCAUCUAGCACAGAUGGGGACAAAGAAAGGAAAAUAAAUGCUACAGUCAGGCUUAUAAAUCUCUUCUGAGACAGAUGCUAUAGAGUCCCCAAACACUGCUGAACUACCAGUUUCAUUACAUGAGGUUGAGGAAAGUGAGAAAUAGAGAACAGACAGACAGAUUCCAGAUUCUCUAACAACCUGUGGCAGGACACUGCAUGCAAAGAAGAGAUGUCAUGACUUUGGUCUGUGAAGUAUGUGAAGCUAGUGGUCAUACACUCAGAUAAGGAAUAAAAAAGGCCUGCGCCAGAGCAAC
Cygnus olor (mute swan) is the source of this 593-nucleotide long non-coding RNA. RefSeq lists it as uncharacterized. NCBI's taxonomy places the organism in Eukaryota, Metazoa, Chordata, Aves, Anseriformes, Anatidae. The transcript has 4 exons. The record is from RefSeq and is a predicted model, not a curated record.